This 70-nucleotide transfer RNA is filed under the name Scriptaphyosemion guignardi. RNAcentral describes it as "tRNA-Ile". It matches the Rfam family "tRNA". From Rfam's summary of the family: Transfer RNA (tRNA) molecules are approximately 80 nucleotides in length. Their secondary structure includes four short double-helical elements and three loops (D, anti-codon, and T loops). Lineage: Eukaryota; Metazoa; Chordata; Actinopteri; Cyprinodontiformes; Nothobranchiidae. The record is from RNAcentral.
GGAGCUGUGCCUGAAGUAAAGGGCCACUUUGAUAGAGUGUAUCAUAAGGGUUAAAAUCCCUUCAACUCCU